RNAcentral lists this long non-coding RNA (443 nucleotides) under Citrus x clementina. RNAcentral describes it as "Citrus clementina (C. clementina) long non-coding RNA (CCLE_LNC002138)". Lineage: Eukaryota; Viridiplantae; Streptophyta; Magnoliopsida; Sapindales; Rutaceae. The record is from RNAcentral.
CUGCAGCUGCGGCACUACUCUGCUGCAAGUUCCCUGAGAGAGCAAGCAACAUAUGGGGUGCUGAAGGGUAGUAUGAGGAAGAGAUCGGUGGCGGAGAUGCAGAGCUGGGGCUCCUUCGAGACGGUGGCUGCGUCACCGGUGGUGGUGGGUGGUGGCGGUGGUGAGGCUGAUACUCAAUUGUUGCUGUUGUUGCCGUUGUUGGAACGUGAGGGAGAUGAUGAUCUUGAUCAGGCUCACGGCGGUGGAAGUUACGAUGGCAGCCGCAGGCGGCGCAUUUUAGAGAAGUGGGGUCUGAGGGGGUGGCGGUCGGGGACGGCAUGAACUCUCCACAGCCGUCGAGUGCAUGGCCACCUAUGCUCGCUGCAUGGUUCUUGAGACAUUCUUUGUACGUUACAACAAUUGGGUGGUGGUGGUGGUGGUGGUGACGUUGGUGGUGCUGCGGC